Molecule: ribosomal RNA, 301 nt
Filed under: uncultured bacterium
Lineage: Bacteria
Description: partial 16S ribosomal RNA
Rfam family: Bacterial small subunit ribosomal RNA
Source: RNAcentral
CAGUAGCCACGGGAAUACGUAGGUGGCAAGCGUUGUCCGGAAUUAUUGGGCGUAAAGGGCUCGCAGGCGGUUUCUUAAGUCUGAUGUGAAAGCCCCCGGCUCAACCGGGGAGGGUCAUUGGAAACUAGGAAACUUGAGUGCAGAAGAGGAGAGUGGAAUCCCACGUGUAGCGGUGAAAUGCGUAGAGAUGUGGAGGAACACCAGUGGCGAAGGCGACUCUCUGGUCUGUAACUGACGCUGAGGAGCGAAAGCGUGGGGAGCGAACAGGAUUAGAGACCCCCGUAGUCCCUGUCUCUUAUAA